UGAGUAUUGCAUCAAGAACCGAAUGUUAAUAUCAGUUUUUGAUGAAUUACUUAAA
This 55-nucleotide microRNA precursor is filed under the name Schmidtea mediterranea. RNAcentral describes it as "Sme-Mir-12-P10_pre stem-loop". The record is from RNAcentral. Lineage: Eukaryota; Metazoa; Platyhelminthes; Tricladida; Dugesiidae.